CAAUUGUUUCACUCAAAAUUUAAAGCUAGGUUUACAUGUUGUGAAUCCAAUGUGUCAAGCAAGGUAUACAAGAUUGCCUUACAAAACAGCUGCUUCAAUAUUUGUAGUAUGGCAUAUCAAAGUGAACCAUAAGUCUAUCCAAGGCAAGGGUGGAGAGUAGCAACUAUAUAUUUGACAGUAUCAUCGAUUGCACCUACGAAAUACGUGACACAAAGGAAAACAACUGUAAGUAAUAGAACUUUGUUACUAGAGUCAAAUUUUCAACUUGUCGACAUACAGCCGACUUGUAUCGUUACCUUAUUUUUUUUUUUUUCAUAAUUGAUUUAAAAUAUUUAUGGUUUGCCAGAGUUACUCACACGUUUUGACCAUAUCUACCUCCUAACCAUGCUUUAAUUCACGGUCUACUUCCCCUCCCAUCUUUCAGAUAAACAAAUUAUUCUUUUCGAUAAUCUAUGACCUUCCGAAAAUAAUGCAGAAUUUAUCGAAAAAAGUUUCAUCAAAAUAGAUAAAAUAGUUCUUAAGAUUAAUGCUCACAUACAGACGGAACGGAGGUUGAAAGUUAAAACCUUCUCAAGCCACCUCCUUGACUACAAUACUAACACAUUUAUUAUUUUACCCAUUACUUUAGUCAACAUAAUAAUAUAUUCAAAUGCCGUGGUUUACACCAAAUUUUAGUUGAGUUAUAAUUAAUAAAAUAAACUGCUCUUGCGCGAAGAAACACGUAGGUAUUCACAUUUAUUUGAAAUAGGUAAUUUGUUAAAUAUGUACUUAACUUAUAAUAGUGCGGUAUCCUUCAUGUUUAAAUUGUUACCUUUAUUAUAAAAAAUUAAAGGUUAAGAGUUACCGUUAUUGAUUAGCUGCAGCUACAUUAUUAUAGAAACAUUUUACCAGAUGAAGAAAUUUCCGAUUUCUCAACCAUUAAACUAAAAAUACAAAUACGAGAGGAAAAAAGAAUACCAUAACUAUUAUUAUUUCAUAUUAAUUAUAACUCUUAAAUGCCGCAAUAAUAUAGAAUAAUUAACAAUUACGGAAUAAUAUGUUAACGCAAGCAAUAUUAUAUUAUGUUAUUAUGAAAACGGUCGACAUUGUAAGUGCGUAUUUUAUAUUGAUAUGUAAUAAUAAUAAUAUUUAGUAUUAAACUAUUAUAUGAAAGUACCAAUAUUAUAUUUAAGACGUUGAAAAUUAAUAAUAUUUUCUUCUUCGCAUUGGUUUCGUCCGCGAAUAAUUAAUAUCCUUGAGAUAUAUGAUGUGUACAAUAUAGAUGCUUACCUAUAGUAUUGUUUUAAAAUCAACCGUAACAACGUCUUGUAAUAAUAAUAAUUAGUGUAAUAACAAUAAUAAUAAUGAGAUCUUAGGUAUAUUAUUGUGUAUUAUUUGCACAUAUUAUUAUUAUUGUUAUUAUCAAUAUCGGAGAUAACGGAUUUAUACAUAUAUAUAUAUAUACAUAUAGAAUUUAUGACCUUAGCUGAUGUUUUGUAUUCUAUAAAUCCGUUUUGCACACUUCCUUUCGACAUUUUGCAAAAAGUCCGCCGGUCCAUCGGCGUUUAAGAUUUAUUUCCAACAAUAAUGAUUUAUUAGAUCACACGGCUUUCAGUUUAAACAAACAUUAUAUAAGCGUUCAAAUUGCAUGGCCGUUGGAUAAUGAUUUUUGAUUUUUUUUUUUUUUUUAUAAUGUUAUACAAUAAUAAAAUAAUUAUUAUGAUUUUCACUUUUAUACUAUAGUAUAUUUUUUCGUAUCACAUUGGUAUGAUUAAACUUUCGCACACAAAAUAAAAAAAAUCAAGGGUCUCCACUUUCCAUUUAUCUCGGGUGAUGGGUCGGCAAUGACUCAUUGUAAAAUUUGUUUGGCAUAUGAUUAGAUCUGGUAGAUAAAACAUUAUAUUUAAUCUGCUCGUUUGUUGUCUUUGAUGUUAAAAUAAUAGUCAACACCACGGAAAUAUAGAUUAAGUAACUAAAAAUAUUUCAAUUUUGUUAUCUAAACAAAUUUAAUUUUUCCCUGAGAUUUAAAUUAUUAAUUAUUAUUAAACUUGCUAAUUAUUACGCAAUUAGGUGGGGAUUCAUGAAAUAUUGAUUUCAUUAGUUCACUGCGGUCACAAUAAUAUAUUUUUUGACAUCUAUGUAUAGAAAUUUGAUUUAUAAAUCCUCAGCAUUACAUUUUAAAGCUUCUAAAAAUAGCUUGUAGAGUAUAUACAAUAUAUAUUGAAUCCUGUAUACUUAACUGACACCAUUCUAAACCUCCAGUUUUUAAAAACAAUAAUGUUUUAAAAAUAUUAGGUACCUCGUCUGAUAAAUGCUAAUAUAAUUAUUGUCCCCGGGAACAUUCAAACAUCAAAAAUCAUAUUUUAACCACAAAAUUCAAACAAGCCAGUGUGAGCACCUUAUUGAAUACGGCACAUAGAAGUUUGGUAAUAUACCACCAUGACAAAACUGAACAAAAUAACACCAAAAAAAAAAAUCUGAUCAAAAAAUUUCGAACUAGAUCAAAUUGUCCUCACUGGAUCAAAAUGUUUUCAAAACGCAACAAAUUGUCCCUUAAAAUGUUUUAGAAUUAAAAAAUAAAACGGUUGUUUAAAUAAUAACCGGUUUUACGUGAAUAAUUUUGGUAAUGAUUCAGUUCUAAUUAAUAAUUAUUAAGUAAUUUGGUUUUUGUUUUAAAUUCGGAGCAAAGCGAGGUUCUAUUGGUUCACCUUUUUUUUUUUUUUUUAAUCUUAGAGCAAUUUUUCUACCAGAUAUCUUCCUCUAAUUGAAAAAUUUGUUGGAUUUUGGAUCUAGUUGUAGUAUUGAAGAAGUAUUUUUUGGUUUUUUUUUAAACAGUUUCCAUAAUAUAAUUGAAAAAAGAAUGGAAAAUGACUUAGAAGUUUACGGAAUUAAUAGUUUAAACAGAAAACUUUUAUUUGCUUUUCGAUGCAGAACUGGCGGUUUUUGAUCUUUUUAUAGACAUUUUAGAAAGGUUUUUUACGCAAUUUUUAUUUGGUAGGUGUUACUUGGAUAUUAUUGUUUGAUCACACUGAAAUGAUUAAUAAUUUAAUAGAAGGUCAAAUACGAGCAUAAGUUAUCAUUAGUGGUAACAAAAAAGUAGUAUCCUGCAGUAACUUUUUUUAUAAAUCAAAUUACGUAAAUAUUACGAUGUUACAAAUCACGUAUACUCCAGCUUCCCUCAGAAACGUUACUCAUUGGAAAUAGUUUAUCGUUGCCCACAGUUUCAAACUAAAUACCUUUAUUUAACCUACCUUCCCAACUUCCCAAUUAUAACAUACAUUGAGAAUUUUAAUUGAACAAUAGAUAGUUUUUAAUAAAUGAAUAACAUUGUCUUCGGUAUGUAUGAAUAAUGAGCAUUUCCCAGGAAUUUGUAAUGUUGUGUGUAAUAUUUAUGAUGCUUAUACGAUGUUUAUAUGCUUGGCGUUUAGAUGUCGUUCAUGGUUAUUACAAAUUUUAAUAUACGAAUACAAUUUAGAACUAACUUUUCUAUUGGCUAAUUUAUUUCUAUUUUUUUACUAAGAAAUAAAAAUUAUUGUUAUUUAAUAUCGGCAAUUAUAAGUUUUUUAUUUAAUCACAUUAUUUUAACGUGCGAGAAGAUAGCUACACAACUACGACCAAAUUUUGUAAUCAUUUCGCAAAUUAAUUUUCAGAAUUUGCAGAU
Cinara cedri is the source of this 3640-nucleotide non-coding RNA. The record is from the annotation of a GenBank genome assembly. NCBI's taxonomy places the organism in Eukaryota, Metazoa, Arthropoda, Insecta, Hemiptera, Aphididae.